RNAcentral lists this ribosomal RNA (588 nucleotides) under Hyphodiscus otanii. Its description in RNAcentral is "eukaryotic LSU rRNA". It matches the Rfam family "Eukaryotic large subunit ribosomal RNA", at positions 53 to 656 of the family's 3401-position model. Lineage: Eukaryota; Fungi; Ascomycota; Leotiomycetes; Helotiales; Hyphodiscaceae. The record is from RNAcentral.
GAGGAAAAGAAACCAACAGGGAUUGCCUCAGUAACGGCGAGUGAAGCGGCAACAGCUCAAAUUUGAAAUCUGGCUCUUUCAGGGUCCGAGUUGUAAUUUGUAGAAGAUGCUUUGGGAACGGUUCCGGUCUAAGUUCCUUGGAACAGGACGUCAUAGAGGGUGAGAAUCCCGUAUGCGACCGGCCGCCUGCCCCGUGUAAAGCUCUUUCGACGAGUCGAGUUGUUUGGGAAUGCAGCUCAAAAUGGGUGGUAAAUUUCAUCUAAAGCUAAAUAUUGGCCAGAGACCGAUAGCGCACAAGUAGAGUGAUCGAAAGAUGAAAAGCACUUUGGAAAGAGAGUUAAACAGUACGUGAAAUUGUUGAAAGGGAAGCGCUUGCAACCAGACUUGCACGUAGUCAAUCAUCUGGUGUUCUCACCGGUGCACUUGGCUAUGUUCAGGCCAGCAUCGGUUCAGGUGGUGGGAUAAAGGCCUUGGGAAUGUAGCUUCUCUCGGGGAGUGUUAUAGCCCUCGGUGCAAUGCCGCCUACCUGGACCGAGGACCGCGCUUCGGCUAGGAUGCUGGCGUAAUGGUUGAAAGCGACCCGUCUUG